GCGCACCAGGCGAGAAAAGUCUACAAUGGACGAAAGUCUGAUAGUGCGACGCCGUGUGUGCGAUUAAUUCCUUCGGGAUGUAAAGCACUUUUCUAUGAGAUAAAAGCUCUUUAGGUUAAUAGCUUAUUGAGACGGAUAUUAUUAUAGGAAUAAGCUCCGGCUAACUCCGUGCCAGCAGCCGCGGUAAUACGGAAGGAGCGAGCGUUGUCCGGAUUUACUAGGCGUAAAGGGCUAGUAGGCGACUAAUUAAGUUAUAUGUUAAAUCCCACGGCUCAACUGUGGUCCUGCAUGUAAUACUGGUUAGAUAGGGUACUGUAGAGGAAGGCAGAAUUCCUGGAGUAGCGGUGGAAUGCGCAGAUAUCAGGAAGAAUACCAAAAGCGAAGGCAGCCUUCUGGGCAGUUACUGACGCUGAAUAGCGAAGGUGUGGGUAGCGAACAGGAUUAGAUACCCCCUGUAGU
This 459-nucleotide ribosomal RNA is filed under the name uncultured microorganism. RNAcentral describes it as "bacterial SSU rRNA". It matches the Rfam family "Bacterial small subunit ribosomal RNA", at positions 346 to 794 of the family's 1533-position model. The record is from RNAcentral.